UACGUAGGGGGCUAGCGUUGUCCGGAAUCAUUGGGCGUAAAGAGCGUGUAGGCGGCCCGGUAAGUCCGCUGUGAAAGUCGGGGGGCUCAACCCUCGGAUGCCGGUGGAUACUGUCGGGCUUGAGUACGGAAGAGGCGAGUGGAAUUCCUGGUGUAGCGGUGAAAUGCGCAGAUAUCAGGAGGAACACCAAUUGCGAAGGCAGCUCGCUGGGACGUUACUGACGCUGAGACGCGAAAGCUAGGGGAGCAAACGGG
This 254-nucleotide ribosomal RNA is filed under the name uncultured bacterium. Its description in RNAcentral is "partial 16S ribosomal RNA". It matches the Rfam family "Bacterial small subunit ribosomal RNA", at positions 524 to 776 of the family's 1533-position model. The record is from RNAcentral.